RNAcentral lists this transfer RNA (55 nucleotides) under Chlamydia psittaci RD1. Its description in RNAcentral is "tRNA His anticodon GTG, Cove score 80.09". It matches the Rfam family "tRNA", at positions 19 to 71 of the family's 71-position model. Rfam says of the family: Transfer RNA (tRNA) molecules are approximately 80 nucleotides in length. RNAcentral also lists the same sequence under 1 other name. Lineage: Bacteria; Pseudomonadati; Chlamydiota; Chlamydiia; Chlamydiales; Chlamydiaceae. The record is from RNAcentral.
UUAGAGCGUCGGAUUGUGGUUCCGAAGGUCGCGGGUUCAAACCCCGUCGUUCGCC